AGGUUAAGCUAUAAAGAGCAUAGGGUGGAUGCCUAGGCACUGAGAGCCGAUGAAAGACGUGAUAAGCUGCGAUAAGCUGCGGUAAGGAGCAAAUAUCCAUUGACCCGCAGAUUUCUGAAUGGGGAAACCUACGCAAGAAGACCUUGCGUACUCAUACAUGAAUACAUAGUGUAUGAGAGGGAACCCGGGGAACUGAAACAUCUAAGUACCCGGAGGAAGAGAAAGAAACAUCGAUUUCCUGAGUAGCGGCGAGCGAAAGGGAAAGAGCCCAAACCAGAGGAUUUAUCCUUUGGGGUUAGGACUGCAUAAUUGAUCUGCAAUUGAUAGGAGAACGGUCUGGGAAGUCCGGCGAGAAAGCGUGAAAGCCGCGUAUCCGAAAUCGAAAGCAGCAAGGCAGGAUCCAGAGUACCACGAGACACGAGAAACCUUGUGGGAAUGAGCGGAGACCACUCCGUAAGGCUAAAUACUACUCAGUGACCGAUAGCGCAUAGUACUGUGAAGGAAAGGUGAAAAGGACCCCGGGAGGGGAGUGAAAGAGAACCUGAAACCCUGUGUUUACAAGCUGUCGAAGCACGCAAGUGCGACGGCGUACUUUUUGUAGAACGGUCCGGCGAGUUAUGAUGAGUGGUAAGGUUAAGGACUUAAGGUCCGGAGCCGAAGCGAAAGCGAGUGUUAAAAGCACGGUUGAAUCGCUUAUCAUAGACCCGAAACCGGGUGAUCUAUCCAUGUCCAGGUUGAAGCUGCCGUAAGAGGUAGUGGAGGACCGAACACACAUCCGUUGAAAAGGGUGGUGAUGAGGUGUGGAUAGGGGAGAAAUUCCAAUCGAACCCGGAGAUAGCUGGUUCUCCUCGAAAUAGCUUUAGGGCUAGCCUCUGGUUAGUCUGCCGCAGGUAGAGCACUGAAUUUCCUAGGGGGCGUCAAAGCCUACCGAAGAAUAUCAAACUGCGAAUGGCGGACAGAUGAUGCCAGGGAGUCAGACUGCACGAGAUAAGUUGGGUGGUCAAAAGGGAAAGAGCCCAGACCUACAGCUAAGGUCCCAAAGUGUGUGUUAAGUGGAAAAGGAUGUGGGAUUUCGAAGACAACUAGGAUGUUGGCUCAGAAGCAGCCACACAUUAAAAGAGUGCGUAAUAGCUCACUAGUCGAGAGGUCCUGCGCCGAAAAUGUCCGGGGCUAAAACACAACACCGAAGCUUAGGAAUUCUAAUGAAUUGGUAGAGGAGCAUUGAAGACGGAACGAAGCCAUACCGUAAGGAAUGGUGGACUGUCUUGAAGAGAGAAUGCCGGAAUGAGUAGCGAGAUUGAAGUGAGAAUCUUCAAGGCCGAAUAUCUAAGGUUUCCAGGGUAAAGCUGAUCUGCCCUGGGUAAGUCGGGGCCUAAGGCAAGGUCGAAAGACGUAGUCGAUGGAUAACAGGUUGAAAUUCCUGUACUGCAUCAAAUCAGAAAUGUGGGGACACAUGAGGGAAGCAUGAGCCGGAAAAGGAAAGUCCGGUACAAGCGCAGCAGAGGACAGAUAGGCAAAUCCGUCUGUCAACUCAAGGGCGCGAUGUGGAGCGAACCAAAGUAGCGAAGCAUGUGGAGCUUGUGUCGAGAAAAGCCGCUAUUGUGUUUGAUGUACCCGUACCGUAAACCGACACAGGUGGAUGAGGAGAGAAUCCUAAGGCCGGCGGGAGAAGCAUUGUUAAGGAACUCGGCAAAAUGACCCCGUAACUUCGGGAGAAGGGGUGCUCCAGAGAUGGAGCCGCAGAGAACUGGCCCAAGCAACUGUUUAGCAAAAACACAGGUCUAUGCAAAACCGAAAGGUGAGGUAUAUGGGCUGACGCCUGCCCGGUGCUGGAAGGUUAAGAGGAGAUGUUAGCCGCAAGGUGAAGCAUUGAAUUUAAGCCCCAGUAAACGGCGGCCGUAACUAUAACGGUCCUAAGGUAGCGAAAUUCCUUGUCGGGUAAGUUCCGACCCGCACGAAAGGCGUAAUGAUUUGGGCACUGUCUCGACAAUGCACCCGGUGAAAUUGAAAUACCAGUGAAGAUGCUGGUUACCUGCGCCAGGACGGAAAGACCCCAUGGAGCUUUACUCUAGCUUGAUACUGGGGUUCGGUAUUGCAUGUACAGGAUAGGUGGGAGACGAAGAGGCAGUGACGCCAGUUGCUGCGGAGUCGAUGUUGGGAUACCACCCCUGCAGUACUGGGCUUCU
RNAcentral lists this ribosomal RNA (2186 nucleotides) under Lachnospira eligens. Its description in RNAcentral is "[Eubacterium] eligens partial 23S ribosomal RNA". It matches the Rfam family "Bacterial large subunit ribosomal RNA", at positions 1 to 2223 of the family's 2925-position model. Lineage: Bacteria; Bacillati; Bacillota; Clostridia; Lachnospirales; Lachnospiraceae. The record is from RNAcentral.